This is a long non-coding RNA of Salvelinus namaycush (lake trout), 1488 nucleotides long. RefSeq lists it as uncharacterized. The transcript is spliced from 3 exons. NCBI's taxonomy places the organism in Eukaryota, Metazoa, Chordata, Actinopteri, Salmoniformes, Salmonidae. The record is from RefSeq and is a predicted model, not a curated record.
UCAAGCCGGCCAUAGAUUGGAACUGGCCUACCUGGUUAAAUAAAGCUGAAAUAAAAUAAAUGUAAAGAGGUAGCUUAAUCCAGCCAUAACUCUGCUAAUAAUGUAGCUAGAAUGCUAUUAAUAAUGUAGCUAGAAUGCUAUUAAUAAUUAAUACUAUUAAUGAUGUCAGGCCCGAAAGAGAACUAUAUCUAAAUAUUGAAUUAUAGGGUCGUUCAUGAAAGACAAAGGCAGAAAAAUUAUGGAUACCGGAUGUUUUUCCGAGAUGGCCUCAAGGAUGAGAAACCUUGUUGCCUCAUCCAGUCCAUAAAAGUAAUCUUCGGUCGAAAGUAGUAAAGGGUGUCAAGGACCUGAAUUCAACAGUGUGGAAGAUGCUACAUUGCAUUAUGUCAAACAUGCUUGCCAUCGCCACAACCUGGACUGGUGCAGGGGAUAAGGCCUGUUCUAAAGACUAUGCUUCACAGAGCCAUUAGAAAGAACCCUGCAACCCGGGAUGCCAUGGACGAUGGGUCCAGAUUCAGGUCACCCUUUACCUGAAAGGGGCGUCCGAUUGAAUGCGGGAGAAGGCGGUGCACAGGGGAGAGGGAUCCGCUGCAGUGAGGAUUCAACAUCAAGUCUCCGACCACCUAUCUCAAAACCAGCCCACUUUAGUCUUACGGACCAAUGCAAUAGUUAUGUCACCUAACUCCACUAUGUAGAUAUACUUUAAUUAUAAUUCUAUGCUGCUACUGCACUGUAGUUAUUCCACUCUAUGCACAAACAAUGUCCAUACUACAUGCCUAUAGGUCUUUUUUUCUUCUUCUUUUUUGUGUACUUUUACAAUGUCACUUAUUUUAUUCCUUUACUAUGUCACUUUGAAUACUAUGUCACUUUUGUUGCGAUUGCACUGUGUGAUUUGACUGGAUGUAUUUGUUGUCACCUGUUGAUCCAGGGAACAUGGACUGGCACUCUUCAUCUGAUCAUUUACGCACACAUAAUCAUUUACAGUUGUUGUACAUACUUAUUUUAAAUCACAAAACGUUUUUUAAAUGGACAUGGCAUCCAAUGUCUUAAAUAAUACAAAUAUAUAAAUAUAUUUAAAAAAUACUGGAAAAAUGUACGCACGCCGCUGGGGUUACAGCAUGUCACUGAAUUGCCAUAGAAAUCCUUAGUCAUAUCUUGUGCAUAUAAUUUUUGACAGUAAAGAACCUGAUUGUGAACUGGGCUUUGUUUGUCAUGUCAUAGCCAUGUUUUGUUACUUUAAAAGGAUGUGUCACUGUUAUGCUAUAUUUGUAAUGGGGAAGGGAUACAACAAAAGAGAAACAAUUAGUGAUGCAUUUUCCAGCAAAGAUUCUGUGUUAUUACAUAGCAACUACCAUAUCUGUUUCCAGGUAACACUGUGGGCUAGUUGGGAUGUUUAAAGGUAUUUAACAGUAUAACUAAAGAUAAACAGGUAAUGUUGCAUUUUCCAGCACUGAUUCAGCGUAAGAGACCAAGAACGCGCCAACAAAA